UACGUAGGGCGCGAGCGUUAUCCGGAAUUAUUGGGCGUAAAGAGCUCGUAGGCGGUUUGUCGCGUCUGCCGUGAAAGUCCGGGGCUCAACUCCGGAUCUGCGGUGGGUACGGGCAGACUAGGGUGAUGUAGGGGAGACUGGAAUUCCUGGUGUAGCGGUGAAAUGCGUAGAUAUCAGGAGGAACACCGGUGGCGAAGGCGGGUCUCCGGGCCGGAUACUGACGCUGAGGAGCGAAAGCGUGGGGAGCGAACAGG
RNAcentral lists this ribosomal RNA (254 nucleotides) under uncultured bacterium. RNAcentral's name for it is "partial 16S ribosomal RNA". It matches the Rfam family "Bacterial small subunit ribosomal RNA", at positions 524 to 776 of the family's 1533-position model. The record is from RNAcentral.